GUCAAAGGUGCGCUGCUUUAGCGAGCGAUAAUAGGGAACCGGGUGAAAUUCCCGGACAGACCUUGCUGCCGUGAGGCGGAGCGCGCGGACAUAACCACUGAGCAAUGCUUGGGAAGGGUUCGUGGCGCAGUGAUGCCGAGUCGGAAGACCUGCCUUUGACGCUG
Molecule: non-coding RNA, 164 nt
Filed under: uncultured Monoglobus sp.
Lineage: Bacteria; Bacillati; Bacillota; Clostridia; Monoglobales; Monoglobaceae
Source: RNAcentral